GACGAACGCUGGCGGCGUGCCUAAUACAUGCAAGUCGUGCGAACCACUUCGGUGGUGAGCGGCGGACGGGUGAGUAACACGUGGGCAAUCUGCCCGACAGACCGGGAUAACGCUUGGAAACGAGUGCUAAUACCGGAUACGCUCUUGACUCGCAUGGUUCGAGAGGGAAAGCUGCCUUUGCAGCACUGUCGGAUGAGCCCGCGGCGCACUAGCUAGUUGGUGAGGUAACGGCUCACCAAGGCGACGAUGCGUAGCCGACCUGAGAGGGUGACCGGCCACACUGGGACUGAGACACGGCCCAGACUCCUACGGGAGGCAGCAGUAGGGAAUCUUCCGCAAUGGGCGCAAGCCUGACGGAGCAACGCCGCGUGAGUGAUGAAGGCCUUCGGGUUGUAAAACUCUGUCUUCUGUGAAGAACAAGCCUAUGAAGAGAAUGCUUAGGCCCUGACGGUAACAGAGGAGGAAGCCCCGGCUAACUACGUGCCAGCCGCCGCCGUAA
Molecule: ribosomal RNA, 499 nt
Filed under: uncultured bacterium
Lineage: Bacteria
Description: partial 16S ribosomal RNA
Rfam family: Bacterial small subunit ribosomal RNA
Source: RNAcentral